Molecule: ribosomal RNA, 282 nt
Filed under: uncultured bacterium
Lineage: Bacteria
Description: partial 16S ribosomal RNA
Rfam family: Bacterial small subunit ribosomal RNA
Source: RNAcentral
UAUUUCCUACGGGGGGCAGCAGUGAGGAAUAUUGGUCAAUGGACGCAAGUCUGAACCAGCCAUGCCGCGUGCAGGAUGACGGCUCUAUGAGUUGUAAACUGCUUUUGUACGAGGGUAAUAUCAGAUACGUGUAUCUGCUUGAAAGUAUCGGACGAAUAAGGAGCGGCUAACUCCGUGCCAGCAGCCGCGGUAAUACGGAGGAUCCAAGCGUUAUCCGGAUUUAUUGGGUUAAAAGGGUGCGUAGGCGGGUUUAUAAGUUAGAGGUGAAAAUUCGGGGCUCAA